This 494-nucleotide ribosomal RNA is filed under the name uncultured bacterium. Its description in RNAcentral is "partial 16S ribosomal RNA". It matches the Rfam family "Bacterial small subunit ribosomal RNA", at positions 28 to 504 of the family's 1533-position model. The record is from RNAcentral.
GACGAACGCUGGCGGCGUGCCUAAUACAUGCAAGUUGAGCGCUGAAGGUUGGUACUUGUACCAACUGGAUGAGCAGCGAACGGGUGAGUAACGCGUGGGGAAUCUGCCUUUGAGCGGGGGACAACAUUUGGAAACGAAUGCUAAUACCGCAUAAAAACUUUAAACACAAGUUCUAAGUUUGAAAGAUGCAAUUGCAUCACUCAAAGAUGAUCCCGCGUUGUAUUAGCUAGUUGGUGAGGUAAAGGCUCACCAAGGCGAUGAUACAUAGCCGACCUGAGAGGGUGAUCGGCCACAUUGGGACUGAGACACGGCCCAAACUCCUACGGGAGGCAGCAGCAGGGAAUCUUCGGCAAUGGACGAAAGUCUGACCGAGCAACGCCGCGUGAGUGAAGAAGGUUUUCGGAUCGUAAAACUCUGUUGGUAGAGAAGAACGUUGGUGAGAGUGGAAAGCUCAUCAAGUGACGGUAACUACCCAGAAAGGGACGGCUAACUAC